CAGCCGCCGCGGGAAUACCGAGGGUGCGAGCGUUAAUCGGAUUUACUGGGCGUAAAGCGUGCGUAGGCGGCUUUUUAAGUCGGAUGUGAAAUCCCUGAGCUUAACUUAGGAAUUGCAUUCGAUACUGGGAAGCUAGAGUAUGGGAGAGGAUGGUAGAAUUCCAGGUGUAGCGGUGAAAUGCGUAGAGAUCUGGAGGAAUACCGAUGGCGAAGGCAGCCAUCUGGCCUAAUACUGACGCUGAGGUACGAAAGCAUGGGGAGCAAACAGGAUUAGAUACCCGCGUAGUCCCUGUCUCUUAUAC
Molecule: ribosomal RNA, 301 nt
Filed under: uncultured bacterium
Lineage: Bacteria
Description: partial 16S ribosomal RNA
Rfam family: Bacterial small subunit ribosomal RNA
Source: RNAcentral